RNAcentral lists this ribosomal RNA (1152 nucleotides) under Triticum aestivum (bread wheat). RNAcentral's name for it is "partial small subunit ribosomal RNA". The record is from RNAcentral. Lineage: Eukaryota; Viridiplantae; Streptophyta; Magnoliopsida; Poales; Poaceae.
AUGCUCUGGCUCCGUCGAGGCGUCCUCGCCCAGCUCCCCUCGUCUCCCUUCGCCUCUCCCUUAUCCCGUCUCCGCCGCCUCCUCUCGGCCGCCGCGCCCGCCAUCUCCCCAAGCACCGGGUUCGCCGUGGAGGAGUACCUCGUCUCCACCUGCGGCCUCACGCGAGCACAGGCCGUUAAGGCCUCCCCCAAGCUCUCCCACCUCAGGUCCCCUGCCAAGCCCGACGCCGUCCUGGCCUUCCUCGCCGGCCUCGGCCUCUCCGGCGCCGACGUCGCCGCCCUCGUCGCCAAGGACCCGCAGUUCCUCUGCGCCAAAGUGGAGAAAACCCUGACGCCCGUCGUCGUCGGGCUCUCUGGCCUCGGCUUAUCGCGUCCCGACAUCGCGCUCGUCGUCCCGCUCGCCGCCCACAAAUUCCGCCAGAAAGCAAUGGUCUCCAAGCUGCAGUACUACCUGCGCAUCUUCGGCUCCUUGGACACCUUCCUCCGGGUGAUGAAGUUUGCAAAUGUCCUCUCAUGCAGCGUCGAGAGGGUGAUCAAGCCCAAUGUCGCGUACCUGCUAGAGUGCGGCUUAGGUGAUUGCGAUAUUGCCAAGUUGUGCAUCUCAAGACCGAGGAUGAUCGCCAGCAACCCGGAGCAUGUUCAGGCAAUGGUGGCGUGCGCUGAAAACAUAGGUGUGCCUCGUGGCUCUGGGAUGUUCAGGCAAGCACUUCAGUCUGUUGCAUUCCUCGGCGAGGAGGAGAUCACAAUCACGGUGGCGUACUUGAAGAGCACGUUCAGGUGGACGGAUGCUGAGGUGGGCAUGGCUGUUUCUAAGUUUCCACCGGUGCUGAGGAGGUCCAAGAAAUCACUGCAGCGCACAUUUGAGUUCCUCAUCUCUGAGGUGGGCUUGGAAUCGGCAUACAUUGCUCAUCGACCCGUACUGCUAGGUCUCAGCCUAGAGGGCCGGCUCAGGCCCCGAUACUACGCUGUAAAGUUUCUCAAGGAAAAUGGAUUGCUCAAGUGUGACCCAAGCUACUAUACUGUUUUCAAGGAGUCCGACAUGACAUUCAAGAAGAAGUUCAUACACCCUCAUAAGGAAGCUGCACCGCACCUUGAAAAAGACUACGAUGCUGCUUGCAAAGGGGAAGUGCCCACUGAUUUCAGAUUCACAUAA